AGCGAACGCUGGCGGCGUGCCUAACACAUGCAAGUCGAGCGAGAAAGGGGUGGCAACACCCUGAGUAAAGCGGCGAACGGGUGAGUAACGCGUGGGCAAUCUACCUUCCAGUCUGGGAUAACCUUCCGAAAGGAGGGCUAAUACCGGAUGAUGUCCUGUUGGGGCAUCCUGAGGGGAGCAAAGGGGCGACCCGCAAGGGCGUCUCGCUGGAGGAGGAGCCUGCGUCCGAUUAGCAGUUGGGUGGGGUAACGGGCUCACCAAGGCGACGAUCGGUAGCCGGCCUGA
Molecule: ribosomal RNA, 285 nt
Filed under: uncultured bacterium
Lineage: Bacteria
Description: partial 16S ribosomal RNA
Rfam family: Bacterial small subunit ribosomal RNA
Source: RNAcentral